UGCGUAGGCGGGCUAAUAAGUCAGUGGUGAAAUCUUUCGGCUCAACCGGGAAACUGCCAUUGAUACUGUUAGUCUUGAGUUCGGUUGAGGUAGGCGGAAUGUGUAAUGUAGCGGUGAUAUGCUUAGAUAUUACACAGAACACCAAUUGCGUAGGCAGCUUACUAGACCGACACUGACGCUGAGGCACGAAAGCGUGGGGAGCGUACAGGAUUAGAUACCCUGGUAGUCC
This 229-nucleotide ribosomal RNA is filed under the name uncultured bacterium. RNAcentral's name for it is "partial 16S ribosomal RNA". It matches the Rfam family "Bacterial small subunit ribosomal RNA", at positions 568 to 796 of the family's 1533-position model. The record is from RNAcentral.